GCUGGUGUGGCUCAGGGGUAGAGCAAUUGAUUCGUAAUCAAUAGGUCGUGGGUCCGAUUCCCACCACCAGCUCCA
RNAcentral lists this transfer RNA (75 nucleotides) under Clostridiales bacterium. RNAcentral's name for it is "tRNA-Thr". It matches the Rfam family "tRNA". Rfam says of the family: Transfer RNA (tRNA) molecules are approximately 80 nucleotides in length. Lineage: Bacteria; Bacillati; Bacillota; Clostridia; Eubacteriales. The record is from RNAcentral.